Molecule: ribosomal RNA, 484 nt
Filed under: uncultured bacterium
Lineage: Bacteria
Description: partial 16S ribosomal RNA
Rfam family: Bacterial small subunit ribosomal RNA
Source: RNAcentral
AUUGAACGCUGGCGGCAGGCCUAACACAUGCAAGUCGAGCGGAUGGAGGGAGCUUGCUCCUGGAUUCAGCGGCGGACGGGUGAGUAAUGCCUAGGAAUCUGCCUGGUAGUGGGGGAUAACGUCCGGAAACGGGCGCUAAUACCGCAUACGUCCUGAGGGAGAAAGUGGGGGAUCUUCGGACCUCACGCUAUCAGAUGAGCCUAGGUCGGAUUAGCUAGUUGGUGGGGUAAAGGCCUACCAAGGCGACGAUCCGUAACUGGUCUGAGAGGAUGAUCAGCCACACUGGAACUGAGACACGGUCCAGACUCCUACGGGAGGCAGCAGUGGGGAAUAUUGGACAAAGGGCGAAAGCCUGAUCCAGCCAUGCCGCGUGUGUGAAGAAGGUCUUCGGAUUGUAAAGCACUUUAAGUUGGGAGGAAGGGCAGUAAGUUAAUACCUUGCUGUUUUGACGUUACCAACAGAAUAAGCACCGGCUAACUUCGUG